UUCAUUUUUUUACAUAAAUAAGGCCGUUAGUUUUCUCGUUUGAAUUGUUUUACAUUGUCUUAUCGGGGCCUAUUAUAGCUGACUAUGCAGUAUGGGCUUUGCUCAUUGUUGAAGGCCGUACGUUGACCUAUAGUUGUUAAUGUCUGUGUCAUUUUGGUCUUUUGUGGAUAGUUGUCUCAUUGGCAAUCAUACCACAUCUUCUUUUUUAUAUUGAUCCUCUGUUC
This 224-nucleotide long non-coding RNA is filed under the name Mytilus galloprovincialis (Mediterranean mussel). The record is from RNAcentral. Lineage: Eukaryota; Metazoa; Mollusca; Bivalvia; Mytilida; Mytilidae.